AUGAUUCUUUCUUUGUUCACUCUAUUUUAUUAUAUACGCUUAGCAAAAAGAAUGUUUUUUGAUAGACCUAGGACAUGGAUUCUAUAUGAACCAAUGGAUCAUGACAAGUCGUUACUACUAGCAAUGACUUCCUCUUUCAUUACUUCAGCCUUUCCAUAUCCCUCUCCCUUGUUCGAUCUUACUCAUCAAAUGGCACUCAGUUCAUAUAUGUAA
This 213-nucleotide ribosomal RNA is filed under the name Triticum aestivum (bread wheat). Its description in RNAcentral is "partial small subunit ribosomal RNA". The record is from RNAcentral. Lineage: Eukaryota; Viridiplantae; Streptophyta; Magnoliopsida; Poales; Poaceae.